Molecule: ribosomal RNA, 373 nt
Filed under: uncultured Glomeromycotina
Lineage: Eukaryota; Fungi; Glomeromycota
Description: LSU rRNA
Source: RNAcentral
UUGAAAGGGAAACGAUUGAAGUCAGUCGUACCUGUGGGUAAUCAGCCUUUUGGGGGCGAUUUUGUGGAGUGUGAGGAGUUAAACGCCUUCAUGCCUGCNUAUUCGUGCACUUUGGGUGUAUUUACCCGUGUGGUAAGUUAACAUCAAUUUCGGUGGUCAUAAAAUGGCUGGAGGAAUGUAGCUUUGAUCUCGUAUUGAAGUGUUAUAGCCUUCGGUAGAUGUGAUAAUCGGGAUUGAGGAUUGCAACGGAUACCCUUCGGGGCUACCUGUCUGAUCUCUGAUCGUUGCUCUGGUGCCGAAAGCUUGCUUACGGUUAUCAAAGUCGAUGGUCAAUAGGUUAGAAUGGGUUAAAUUCGUUAAGGAUGUUGACGUA